CCCCAAGUGUCUGUGGCAUGGCAUCAUCGGGAGGGACGGCUCUGAGGCUGGUGGAGGGACAGGACAUCUCCGUUGUUUGGGGAAGUCUGUCCUCCAGUCCCGAGGGUGCAAGUGGAUUGGUUUAAGUGUGAAUGUAACUGGCAGCCAGGGCAGCAGGAACUCUUUCGCUGAAAUUUCCAGGCCUCCUUGGGUUCCCUGAACCCUGGGCUGGCGUUCCCAGGACCCAGCACCAGGAGACCCCCAGUCCCACCCAGGAGGGCUGGGCGAAGCCAGUGCCGGCCCCCCUCCUCCCUACAGCCUCGCAUCACUGCCAAAGCCCCCGUUCCUUUUGCCCAAAUAAUGCAGGCUGAAGCUGCAGUGCCAGCUGGAGGGACAUCUGGGGCUCCCCGUGCCAUCCCUGUUUCCAGACAGCUGGACAGCUUCCCCUUUACCCCCACCCCAGCGAGCCCCUGCGGGCCAGAGAAAGAUGGGGUUCCCGCACUUUCCAGGCUCCACCCCUGAACUUGCGUUAGCGUUAGCUAAGCAUACAAUCAGUGUUGAACCUCUCUCUUCCUUAGCUUGUAGAUACGACUGUGUACAGGGGACCCACUGGAGGCCAGGCGGCCGAUGCUGCCCGAGCACCCGGGCGUGGUUUGGUUCCUUUAGGCAAUUUUUGUUCUGCCAACAGGGGAACCCGUGCUGCCGGGUGUAGCGGCCGGAGCGCCUGGCCUCGGUGGUUAGGCAGCCCCAGCCCGGGGCCCCAGUGCUCCUCAGGGCCUGAGCAGCCCCUACUUCUGGCCCAGCAGGUUUCUCUUUCUAGUCUUUCAGCGCAUCCAAAAUAGAGGCCUCCCACCACCACCAAGUCAGAGCAACAGCCAGCAACAAUCUGGCGCUCAGAGAUGCCUCAGUUUCCCUAGCAUGAGCACCAGCCGACACAUGGUCCACUGAGAUUAUGAUUCUGUUCUCUCCAAAGCAAAAAGCCGGGUGAGGGGAAGUCUCAAUUUCUGCCAGUGCUCAAAGGAAUAACACCAAAAGAAUCAACACACCAUCUCCCGGACACGGAGCAGCACGUGACCCAGCUCCAGGCGCCGUGGGUCAGUGGGAGGGACAGCGCCACGCCACAGACCCAGCGGGGGACCGCCUCUCUGUACAAUUGGAACGACGUGUUUUACUUUUCUCUCCUUUCUUCAUUCUGCUUUUUUUUUUUUUUUUGCAUGUUUCUUUUUGAAAAUGGAGAAAAUGUGUAGCAGCCCGCAUGACCACGGUUGUUUUGGGGAAAGAUACUGGGGUAUGACGUGUCACACCUGCAGCUCUGAGCAUCGAGAGGUUAGACAAACGUUCCACCUUUUUUUGUAAUUGUCAACAGCACAACUAUUUUGUAUUGUUGUUUGUAUCAUUUUGUACCAAAAAGAAAAAAAAAAAGAAAAAAAAAAGGGGAGAGAAUUGAUGUUUCUGUUUCUAGUGCCAGACAGUCUUGGUCCCAAACUGAGUAGCGCCCUGCGGAGCAGUUGUGCACGGGCGGGCGGGGAGUGCUGCUCCAGAGACUAAAUAAAGUCCCCCUUUUUCAUA
This is a non-coding RNA of Saimiri boliviensis boliviensis (Bolivian squirrel monkey), 1548 nucleotides long. NCBI's taxonomy places the organism in Eukaryota, Metazoa, Chordata, Mammalia, Primates, Cebidae. The record is from RefSeq and is a predicted model, not a curated record.